Molecule: ribosomal RNA, 492 nt
Filed under: uncultured bacterium
Lineage: Bacteria
Description: partial 16S ribosomal RNA
Rfam family: Bacterial small subunit ribosomal RNA
Source: RNAcentral
AGCGAACGCUGGCGGUAGGCCUAACACAUGCAAGUCGAACGGCAGCACAGUAAGAGCUUGCUCUUACGGGUGUCGAGUGGCGGACGGGUGAGUAAUACACCGGAAUCUACUUUUUCGCGUGGGAUAACGCAGGGAAACUUACGCUAAUACCGCAUACGACCUACUUGUAAAAGCAGGGGAUCUUUUGACCUUUCGCGAUUGAAUGAGCCGAGUUCGGACUAGUUAGUUGGCGGGGUAAAGGCGUACCAAGGCGACGAUCCGUAGGUGGUCUGAGAGGAACAUCAGGCACCCUGGAGCAGAGACACGGUCCCCACUCCUACGCGGGGAAGCAGUCGGAACUCUUGGGCGAUGGGGGAGAGCCUGAUCCAGCCCUACGGCGUAGGUGCAGAAGGCCUUCGGGUUGUUGAGUCCUUUUGUUGUGAAGAAAGUGAAGUACUUUAAUCGCCCGCUGUUCUGACGGUACCCAAAGAAUAAGCACCGGCUAACUUCGUG